RNAcentral lists this small nuclear RNA (61 nucleotides) under Meriones unguiculatus (Mongolian gerbil). Lineage: Eukaryota; Metazoa; Chordata; Mammalia; Rodentia; Muridae. The record is from RNAcentral.
GUGCUUGCUUUGGCAGCACAAGUACUAAAAUUGGAAUGAUACAGAGAAGAUUAGCAUGGCC